AAGGCUUGUAAAACUCUAAUUUACAUCUCCUGAAUGCAACUCAGAC
Molecule: transfer RNA, 46 nt
Filed under: Lamprolepis smaragdina
Lineage: Eukaryota; Metazoa; Chordata; Lepidosauria; Squamata; Scincidae
Description: partial tRNA-Ala
Source: RNAcentral